Molecule: long non-coding RNA, 1005 nt
Organism: Beta vulgaris subsp. vulgaris (sugar beet)
Lineage: Eukaryota; Viridiplantae; Streptophyta; Magnoliopsida; Caryophyllales; Amaranthaceae
Exons: 2
Source: RefSeq, a predicted model, not a curated record
AUAUUAUUUAAACCUAUUGUUGCGGUUCUAAAAAAAAUCACAGCAAUAUACUUUUAAAAUUAAUAUUAAAGAGUUCAGCUAGGGUUUCACGCCUCAUCAGUUCACUUUACGCCUCACUCUUCUCUCUCUUCCUCUCAUCUUCUCUCUCCUCCCCUCAGCAGUUCACGCCUCAUCUCUUCUCUCUCUUCCUCUCAUCAGUUUCUUUCAUCUUCUCUCUUCCGUUCGCCGGUCGACCGUACCCUCUCAUCAUCGUCUGAUCCGUUUGCCAGUCGACGGUUCGACAAGAACUUCGAAGUCCACUCAUCUCCUUCGUUCGUCUGGUGUGUCUUCGCUCAAACUAGGGUUUCGGCCGAUAAGAACAACCAGUCAUCUUCGCUUGUCUGGUGGUCAUCAUCUUUGAAUCGGCUCGCCGACAUCUCGAGGAGUGAGGUUUUGUUGGUAAUCAUAAAUGGUGCGGCCAAGGAAAUAGGACGGGCAGCUGUGAUUGGACCAAAGCAAGAGGAAUAGAGGUGGGUGGUGCAUUAGAUAACUAUUGUAUUGGAGAGGCAUUAUUUUCAUUAUAUUGCAGAUAUUAAAAAUGUUAGUCUUUUUCCAAGUUUGUCUUUGAAUCUUCUGUUGCUAUUGAUUAGGCAUGUGUCAUGGAAGAAGCACUGGAAAUACCCAUAAUGAAUGACCUUACAAUAGUUUUGGGCUCAAUAUCACAGGUUUUAUACGAUGACACUUGACAAAUAUGCCAAAUUAUGACACCCUUCAUUUCACAUAAUUCUGCAUACUUGCCUUUGACAGUAAUUUAAGUACAACAAAAUAGAAGCAAGAGUUGGGCUAUUCACAUAACCGUUCGGCUUAGAACAAAGAGUUCAUUGUAGACUUGUAGUAUAAUUCUGAUAUUUUUUUUAGAAUCAAUAUUUUUGUUGAAGGUUUCUAUUUUUUAUUUUUCGUAUGUUCAGUGUAGUGCAAUUCUCGUUUCUUGCAAUUCUUCAAUAUGUCAGAUUUUUUUCUUCAUUA